Molecule: unclassified non-coding RNA, 390 nt
Filed under: soil metagenome
Description: partial contains 5.8S ribosomal RNA, internal transcribed spacer 2, and large subunit ribosomal RNA
Rfam family: 5.8S ribosomal RNA (bases 1-122)
Source: RNAcentral
GAUGAAGAACGUAGCGAAAUGCGAUACUUGGUGUGAAUUGCAGAAUCCCGUGAACCAUCGAGUCUUUGAACGCAAGUUGCGCCCGAAGCCACUAGGCCGAGGGCACGCCUGCCUGGGCGUCACACGUCGUUCCCCCCCCAUCUACUCCUUCGGGAUUGCAGGGGGCGGAUGAUGGCCUCCCGUGCGCCUCGCCGCGCGGUUGGCAUAAAUACCAAGUCCUCGAUGACGCACGCCACGACAAUCGGUGGUUGCGAAACCUCGGUUGCCCGUCGUGUGCGUUCGUCGCGCAUCGAGGGCUCGAAAAAAUGCUCGGCUCCGGCUCGGCUUUCAACGCGACCCCAGGUCAGGCGGGGUUACCCGCUGAAUUUAAGCAUAUCAAUAAGCGGAGGA